CCAUGCAGGAGAGAGAGAGAGAGAGAGAGAGAGAGAGAGAGAGAGAGAGAGAGAUUUGAGAACUUCUUCUCCAAUCUGAAGUGAGAUCAGAGGGCUUGUUAGUGACACCUCUGCCUCCUUUUUAAAAUUAGUUUCUAUUAAAGAUUGUCAUGUUGCAAAACAAGCAAAUAAACAAGGGAAAGUACAUAUAGCGUCUCUUCUUUCUUUCUUUCUUUCUUUCUUUCUUUCUUUCUUUCUUUCUUUCUUUCU
Non-coding RNA from Podarcis lilfordi (Lilford's wall lizard), 249 nucleotides. The record is from the annotation of a GenBank genome assembly. Lineage: Eukaryota; Metazoa; Chordata; Lepidosauria; Squamata; Lacertidae.